Clostridium sp. HMP27 is the source of this 119-nucleotide regulatory RNA element. It matches the Rfam family "Ribosomal protein L20 leader". From Rfam's summary of the family: This family is a putative r-protein leader autoregulatory structure found in B. subtilis and other low-GC Gram-positive bacteria. It is located in the 5' untranslated regions of mRNAs encoding initiation factor 3 followed by ribosomal proteins L35 and L20 (infC-rpmI-rplT). A Rho-independent transcription terminator structure that is probably involved in regulation is included at the 3' end. Lineage: Bacteria; Bacillati; Bacillota; Clostridia; Eubacteriales; Clostridiaceae. The record is from Rfam.
UGUGUUAAGAAGAAACCAGCCGUUUCUCACCUUACAGCAUCGCUAGUAGGGUUAUAUGGAUAGCAAUUUUUAUUUUGUUGCAUAUAAAAGGACGGCAUUUGCCGUCCUUUUUUUAAUAC